RNAcentral lists this transfer RNA (71 nucleotides) under bovine gut metagenome. It matches the Rfam family "tRNA". Rfam says of the family: Transfer RNA (tRNA) molecules are approximately 80 nucleotides in length. The record is from RNAcentral.
GGGGUGUAGCUCAGUUGGUAGAGCGCCUGCCUUGCAAGCAGGAGGUCACCGGUUCGAACCCGAUCAUCUCC